RNAcentral lists this ribosomal RNA (799 nucleotides) under uncultured bacterium. Its description in RNAcentral is "bacterial SSU rRNA". It matches the Rfam family "Bacterial small subunit ribosomal RNA", at positions 25 to 814 of the family's 1533-position model. The record is from RNAcentral.
CAGGAUGAACGCUAGCGACAGGCUUAACACAUGCAAGUCGAGGGGCAGCGGGGGAGUGGCAACACUUCCGCCGGCGACCGGCGCACGGGUGAGUAACACGUAUGAAACCUGCCCGCAGCAGGGGGAUAAGCGGAAGAAAUUCCGUCUAAUACCGCGUAACAACCGACGGGGGCAUCCCUGUUGGUUCAAAGGAGCGAUCCGGCUGCGGAUGGUCAUGCGGCGCAUUAGCUAGUUGGCGGGGCAACGGCCCACCAAGGCGACGAUGCGUAGGGGUUCUGAGAGGAAGGUCCCCCACACUGGUACUGAGAUACGGACCAGACUCCUACGGGAGGCAGCAGUGAGGAAUAUUGGUCAAUGGCCGAGAGGCUGAACCAGCCAAGUCGCGUGAGGGAUGACGGCCCUACGGGUUGUAAACCUCUUUUGCCGGGGAGCAAGGAGCGGGACGCGUCCCGCCUCGAGAGUACCCGGAGAAAAAGCAUCGGCUAACUCCGUGCCAGCAGCCGCGGUAAUACGGAGGAUGCGAGCGUUAUCCGGAUUUAUUGGGUUUAAAGGGUGCGCAGGCGGAAGCGCAAGUCAGCGGUAAAAUUGAGAGGCUCAACCUCUUCCCGCCGUUGAAACUGCGUUUCUUGAGUGGGCGAGAAGUACGCGGAAUGCGUGGUGUAGCGGUGAAAUGCAUAGAUAUCACGCAGAACUCCGAUUGCGAAGGCAGCGUACCGGCGCCCAACUGACGCUCAUGCACGAAAGCGUGGGUAUCGAACAGGAUUAGAUACCCUGGUAGUCCACGCAGUAAACGAUGAAU